GUGGUGGCUCAGCGGUAGAGCACACGCCUAGCAGAUGCGAGCCCUGGGUUCGAUCCUCAGCACCACA
RNAcentral lists this transfer RNA (67 nucleotides) under Marmota monax (woodchuck). RNAcentral's name for it is "tRNA.Ala". Lineage: Eukaryota; Metazoa; Chordata; Mammalia; Rodentia; Sciuridae. The record is from RNAcentral.